This 773-nucleotide ribosomal RNA is filed under the name uncultured Neocallimastigales. Its description in RNAcentral is "partial large subunit ribosomal RNA". It matches the Rfam family "Eukaryotic large subunit ribosomal RNA", at positions 24 to 617 of the family's 3401-position model. Lineage: Eukaryota; Fungi; Neocallimastigomycota; Neocallimastigomycetes; Neocallimastigales. The record is from RNAcentral.
UACGACUACAUAUCAGGCAUAUCAAUAAGCGGAGGAAAAGAAACUAACUAGGAUUCCCUUAGUAACGGCGAGUGAAGCAGGAAGAGCUCAAAUUUGAAAUCUUCAAGGUUUUACCUUGACGAAUUGUAGUUUAAAGAAGUGUUUUCUGUUGAAGUUUUGGUAAAAGUUCUUUGGAAUAGGACAUCAUAGAGGGUGAGAAUCCCGUAUUUGACCAUUAUUUUCAGCUGUGUGAUACACUUUCAAAGAGUCGGAUUGUUUGGGAAUGCAGUCCAAAAUGGGUGGUAAAUUUCAUCUGAAGCUAAAUAUUGGCGAGAGACCGAUAGCGAACAAGUACCGUGAGGGAAAGAUGAAAAGAACUUUGAAAAGAGAGUUAAACAGUACGUGAAAUUGUCAAAAGGGAAGCGUUUGACACCAGUGUUGUUUUCUCGAAAAUCAAUUAAAAAAAGUUGGAUUUUGUGUUGUAUUGACCUUAACAGCUUGCUUCACUCUUUUCCAGCUUUUUUUAAUGCACUUUUCGUUUAACAAGUCAACAUCAGUUUCUUUUGUUGUAAAAGGGUCAUUGGAAGGUGGCUUUCUCUUCGGAGAAAGUGUUUAUAGCCUUUGAUCUCUGCAAUCGGAGAGACUGAGGUCUGCAGCGUAGAUCCUUCGGGGUUAGAUACAUUUGUGCUAAGCUACAGCUUUUCAUAGACAACUUGUUGACUAUGUUUAGUCUUGUGACUUACCCGCUUAUGCUAUUUUACCUACGCUUAGGAUGUUGAGCGCAUGUCUCUCUC